GCUCUAUUUAAACUUCUGGACUCAACCUGGCUGCUAGACCGGAGCGUCCUCCAGCGCAGGCAAGACUUACUCGUUUACAGUCAUGUUAUCUUCGAGUACCUAGAGAGACAUUUUCACCCACACCCUAGAGCGGCGUUUUAAUCCUUACGUGUCUUUUAACGCUACUUGGCCCUUACCUGCGAGCAACUGACCUUUAAUAAUCCUCAUUUUUUUGUGCCCCGGAGGUGCCUUCCCGUCUUCGCGUCUGUUUCCCGGAAGUGGUUCUUCUCCCUCUCUACCCUUGCGCCCGCCUGGGCGGUCCAGCUGCCCCUAGGGGCCGACUCCAGCGGCUGUUUGGGGGCUGGGCAUCCCGCAGCUUUUCAAGGCGUGCCUUUGGUUUUUUUAAGAAGUGCUAUCUAAAGGAAAGACUGCAUUAUGGCUCUGGGGAACUUUCAUAUCCUCAGUUGACCUUAGGCUGUGUGACCUUGAGCAGGUAGCGUAACCUCUCUGAGUUUCCCGCGUGCCUUAUGUGCAGAUUGAGAUGCUAAAAUGAGAGAGCUAAAUUGGAAAGCUUUCCACAUAGGGGGCCGUGAGCAGGUGGCUGGUUUGUCUUCUGACACCAGUGGCUCAGACUUAACGCAGCUUCAACGACCGCCAAGAUGCCUGCCAUGCCCACCAAGAUUUAAAGGACUCCGGUAAUUCUUUCUCUCCCCAGUGUUUUCCCUAUCCAAUCCUAAUAACCAAGCCUGAAGGAAUCUCUGACUUGGUGAUUGAAGGCUCUCCAGGUCCCCUAGUUUAAGGGCAGAGAUUUACUUUUUCUCAGGCUACAAAGGAGCAUCUGGGAGAUGCGAGAAUGUGUCUACCUUAGACAAAACAGGGAGGAGGGGUGGAGCUCUCCAAAUUGCCUCUGGCUUGGGCUUUUUCUUUCUCUUUUGGUGUGUCGUCUCUGGCCAGCAACACCUGUGAGUCCUUGAUGUGACGAUUAGGGAAGAUGUUUUUAAUUCACAUAACUAUUCUUUAGAGAAAAUUGAUCCUGAAAACACCUUAUUGCCUGUUCGUAGAAUGACUGCAUUACUCAGAAUUCUUUACCUCCACCGGAAUUUAGUGAAGGGAAGGCACAACGUACGUUAGGAAAAUACAGGAUACUCUCCAGUCCUUAAACCUUCCACAAUCCUCUAACUCUUUAAGGUCGAGUGUGAUCCUCCCCAGAACUGCAUCUUCCAGGAAGCUCAUGAGAAAGGAAGGAUCCUAGGUGCCAUCCCUGAUCUCCUGAAUCGGCAUCUGCGUUUUAACAGAAUCCUGAAGCAGUAGUCUAACUCCUUUGGUGGUGUUAUGGUUUGAAUGUAUACCUCCAAAAUUCACAUAUUGAAAUACUGACCCCCAAGGUGAUAGUAUUAGGAGGCCUUUGGGAGGUAAUUAAGUCGUGAGGGUGGAGCCCUCAUGAAUGGGAUUAGUACUCUUAGAAAAGGGACCCCAGAGAGGUCUCUUUCCACCAAGUAAGGAUAAAAGUACAAGGAGAAGAUGGCAGUCUGCAAACUGGAAAAGGGCCCUCCUCAGAACCUGACCAUCUUGGCACCUUGAUCUCAGACUUCCAUCUUCCAGAACUGUGAGAAAUAAAUUUCUUUUAUAAACACUCAGUCAUUGCUACUUUAUUAUAGCCGCCUGAAUGGAUUAAGACAGGUGGUCUGGUUUAAAGUGAUGUAGUGGCAUCACAAGUUUAAAGAGAGACUGGAUUCACAGAACCAGAAUCUGGGAUGCUGUUUACAGAGCAAGUUAUUUCCUGCAUUUGGACACUGUCAGCAGGUCGAUUCAGGAGACAGAUGAAAACUUUAUCACCAGGCAGCCUGGAUGAACACCACAACUUUGAGAUCUUUCACUUAAAGGAAAGAUAAGGGCAUCCACUAUUUCUACACCUGGCUGGCAGAGUGAGAGCUCACCAAAGCACUUACAAAUUCAUAGACUAUUACCACUGAAGACAAGUUAAGAGAUUGUGUUCUCCAAACUCAUCAUUUUUCAGAGUCCUACCUCUUUUCAGCAAGUGCAGGACAAUAGAAAGAAAAACCAGAGGCCAGGUUGGGAGGAGAUAUGAAAAGAUUUUCCCGGAAAAUGAAGUAGAAGAUCCUAUGAAGGAACCGAAUAAUUUAUUUUUAAGAGAUCCCCAGGGGAUGCUGAUGCUACUCGUCUGGAAACCACAUUUUGAGAACCAUUCAUUAAUCUAGAGAAAUCUGUUUUACUCCCAUCACUGUGUAUCAACGUUGGUAGUUAUUGAAAGAAAAACUAAAUUCAAUCAAAUACAGAAAAUUAUUAUUGCCAUCGAAAGUGUAUUUUUUCAUUUAUUUUGUUGUCUGCAUUUCCUAAAACGUGCAAGGAAAAAAAAAUUAAGAGGAAGGUCAAAGGGAGAUGGGAACAUCAGAUAAAGAAUGCACCUGACUUCCAGUAAGCCAGUCCACUCAAUACCACCGUGGGCAUCGAACUUGAAGGGAACACGUAUUUUGACACCAGUAGCACAUUGGAGGCUCAAGAUGUGCAGAAAUCUCUAAAUUGUGAACUUUCCUUCUUGGGCAGAAGUGGAAGGAAUGUCUGUUUUCAUGACUGUGGUUUACUAAUAUCUCACAGCAAACAUGAGAAGUAAUGAAGUAACCGAGCGCUGCUUCAUUCAAGGGGAUUUAUCUGCCUCCAGAAACGAGCGGGAAAAUCCCAAUUGCUUUGGAAGUAUUUGAUGCUCUUUAGUAAAGAUAUAGCUUUAAGAUUCCUCUGGAAAUUAGCCAAAUUUAAAGAGAUUGAAAUGCCUCUGUUCUAUAUUAAAGAGCCUCUCGCUAUAGACACACUUCUUCAUGAAUGUGUUUACUUUCGAAGCGGAGUGAAUCCUCCACUGACAGAGAUGGAAAUGGUUCCUAAUUUGCUAACAGUUUAGAAACUGGAAAAUAACAGAGAAGGUACACAUCCGCCUGACACUGGGGACACAUUUAUCUUGUAUUCAUUAUUUUUCAUAAUUUUACAUGCCCCUGGCGGCCACUUGAGAUGAAAUUAUUAGAGAAUCAUUUUAACUGCCUCAUGAACUGAUUUGUUUUGUAUUUGUUUUUCUGUUGCUAUUUUCUAAUUUCUAAUUAUUUACUGCUAUUUAAGCAAUUUUAUUUGUACCUGAUUGAACAGCUGCGGUUGGAUUCAUCUACCUCAGAACUUUCUGUCUGAAUCUUUGAGAGAGCAGAUCUGCAGUCCUCUCACUGCUAUUUGAUGUCCACUUUGUAUGUAUUAAAGACAAGCUGGUUUCUUGUGUCCUUGGAUUGAUUGCACUAACAAUGAUAUUUGGUGAAUGGGCAUGUAUAUAUGUAUUUACAUGUGGGUGAUUUAUUACAAAUGGGAUGAUAGGGCAUUUUGGUCAGUUCAACUAGUACAAUUAGGGGAUAUUGAUAAAACUCUGUCAACCAAUUUUAAUCCUGAUAGAAAAGUAGUUAUUUGUCCCUUUUCUGAAAAAUCCAUAGAAAAAAAUAUUUUUUUCAUAGAUAUUUUCACAUGUUAAUUAAAUUUUUCCACUGGAACAUCCAUCUAAUUUCUUCCUGUUUACUUAAUUUCCACCCAUAUGUAAUCCUCAACUCUGAAUCUCAACUUCUCUAAAAAUGAUUUUUCUCUGAACUCAUGUGAAUCUCUCUCUCCACCCCCCAACUUUCUUCUCUUCUCUUUAUGUCCUUAUACAAGUUAGUCUUAAACACCAUUUUAAGUUAAUUUGUAAUCAUCCCAUGGGUUUGUCCUGCCCACUGCACAGACAAAAUCAAUUCACUGAGAUCGUGGUAUUGCAGUAAAGAAAGACUUUAAUUGACUGGAGGCUGGCCACGCAGGAGACGGAGUCAUUACUCAAAUCAGUCUCCCUGAAGGCUGGGAGGGUUUUUAAGGAAAAUUUGGUGGGCAAAGAGCUAGGGAGUGAGGAGUGCUGAUUAGUUGGGUUGGGGAUUAAAUCAUGGUGGGUGGAGGUGGAAGGGGGUUCUUCUGCGUGCCUUCUGUUCCUGGGUGGGGUUGCAGACCUAGGUGGGCCAGUUUACUGGUGUUGGUGGCGCCAGCUGGUUCAUCAGGAUACAGGGUCUGAAAAAUACCCUGAACACCAAUUAUAGGUUUUACGAUAGUGAUGUUAUCCCUAGGAGCAAUUGGGGAGGUUAGGAAUCUUGUGGCCUCUGGCUACAUGAUUCCUGAGCCAUAAUUUCUACUCUUGUGGCAAACUCUUUAGUUUUACUAAGGAGGUCUGAUCCUCAGUCAAGGAGGGGGUUUGUUUCAGGAAGGGGUUGUUAUCAUCUUUGUUCCAAAGUUAAAGUAUAAACUAAAUUCCUCCUAAAGUUAGAUUUCCCUAUGCCAAGGAAUGAAAAAGGGCAGGUUGGAGGUUAAAAGCAAGACAGAGUCAGUUAGGUCAGAUCUCUUUCACUGCCACAGUUUUCUUGUCAGAUUUUUCUCACUCUCAUAAUUUUUGUAAAGGUGAUUUCACUUUUACUACUUGCACCCAGCAAAAAUGUAAAUGUCUGGAGGAAAAAAAAUCUCCAUUUUACUUUUUUAUAAUCUGCCCCAAUUCUGCACAGAAGAAAAACCAGUGGUAUGUAGUGUAUUAUAUAUUAAUAGAAAAAAAGAAAGUUAAAAACAUUGUAACACAUACAUUGUAAAAAAGUUCAAAAAGGUACUCCUUUUAAAUAUGUACUAUUCUGAGAUUUUUGUCUCAAUAGAUUUUGGUCAUCCUCUUUCUUUCACUCUAUAUUUAGUUAUUCCUUCUGUUUUGCAGCUAAAAAUCAUACCAUUUUAUGAAUAUGUCCUAAUGUACUUAACCAUGGCAUUUAUGUUAUUACCAGUGUUCAGCUAUGACAACCAGUAAUGGAAAUAUCAGAAUACACUCAGGUGGGAAGUCCUGUAAAAUAGAUGUAAAGAGGUGGGAGAGUGCCUUCCAAGUGUUUAACACAUUUAAAUUUUGAUUGCUAAGUUUUAAAUCACCCAUUGUAGAAACAGAGAAUGUCCACUUGAAUACACAGUAAUUUCUAGAUCUACUCACACCAACGAUUUUAGAACUAUGUGUAUAUUAUGGAAUCCGGAAAUAUUAUUAUCUGAGAUUUUCUGUUAAAAAAAAAAUACAAUCACGCUACGUACAUGUGUGUGCAAGUCAACCCCACUCUACACCUCAGGGGUGGUGAAUUAGCAUUGAAAGUAUUUUUAUCAGGAAUUCCCAAUUCAGGGGUGAUUUCUAAUGGAAGCCCCCCACUGGGAAUCCACAGUCCAGAGGUGGCUACUUAGCCCUACAAAUACUGUUGUUUUAUAUUGUACCAGUUAAUUUGUCAAAUGGCUUCAGUGAUAUUGAAAACUAAUUGUGAAAUCAAUUAUGUUCGUUUAGAAAAUCUGUAUGGGUCCAAUUGCCCCUGAAUGCAUGCAUUGCUGUGGGUGGAGGAGGAGGAGGCAGGGUUGCAAGCGACUGUUUAAGCAAAGAAAUUAAUUCUCUUCUCCGUGCCUAAUUGCAGCCAAAUGGCCUAGCAUGUAUGGGGUCAUCUGUGCUAAUAAAGGUAAAGAUCUGAGAUAUGUUGCUGGAAUUCCAAAACACAAGGGUGUCCAACAUCGACCAUUUCUCAAGAUGCCUUUUGGAUUAGUUACAUAACCUCAAAAAAGAAAAAAAAAAAGCCAGAGAAUAAAAUAAACAAGCUGAUUGUGCCUAUACCAUUUGCCUUCUUAGAGAGCUUGGAUUUUUUUUUUCUUUCUAAGUCUAGCUCUGUUGCCCAGGCUGGAGUGCAGUGGCAGUGGCUGGAUGUCGGCUUACUGCAACCUCCGCCUCCCAGGUUCAAGCAAUUCUCCUGCCUCCACCUCCUGAGUAGCUGGGAUUACAGGUGCGCACCACUAUGCCCGGGUAAUUUUUUUUUUUUUUUUUUUUUGGAUUUUUAGUAGAGACAGGGUUUCACCAUGUUGGCCAGGCUGGUCUCGAACUGCUGACCUCAGGUGAUACACCCGCCUCAGCCUCCCAAAGUGUUGGGAUUACAGGCGUGAGCCACCGUGCCCAGCCAAAGUGCUCGGAUUUUAAAGGAACAACUCAUUUGUGGAUUAGAUAGGGAAGAGGCUACCAGCAUUAAGAGUGGGCAGACUAGUCAAAAUAGACAUUUCUCUGGAACAGCCUUCAGGGGAAUUCAUUUUUAUUCUUAAGGAAGUUAAAGUAAUCUCACGUUUAAAGAAUAGGGGACUGUAUUCUUUGUAAAGAAUCUUCUGAAUCAUAUAGUCAGCUACUAACCUGGCAGCUUGAGCUCAGUUUUCUC
Symphalangus syndactylus (siamang) is the source of this 6242-nucleotide RNA transcript. It is a transcript of the gene named variable charge X-linked protein 3-like, with no coding region annotated. Lineage: Eukaryota; Metazoa; Chordata; Mammalia; Primates; Hylobatidae. The record is from RefSeq and is a predicted model, not a curated record.